RNAcentral lists this small RNA (30 nucleotides) under Bombyx mori (domestic silkworm). RNAcentral describes it as "ovarian small RNA-13389". Lineage: Eukaryota; Metazoa; Arthropoda; Insecta; Lepidoptera; Bombycidae. The record is from RNAcentral.
CAUACAGACCCAUAAGCCUGUUGCCUGUGC